Molecule: long non-coding RNA, 351 nt
Organism: Helianthus annuus (common sunflower)
Lineage: Eukaryota; Viridiplantae; Streptophyta; Magnoliopsida; Asterales; Asteraceae
Exons: 3
Source: RefSeq, a predicted model, not a curated record
GCUAAAAAUCAAGCAACUGGAAGGCCAAAUCAGUCCCAAAUCGAAAUCCAAGCUUAUUUAGUGAUCACCUAAGCGAAGGGAUCACAAGUUUGACUCUGACAAGCUUGGUAGGAGCUUGGAAAUGAACGGGUCAAAUGGAUACAAGUUCAAGUAUGAAGCUCGCAAGGAUGCAAGGUGAAUGUAGCUACCAUCCGGGUGUCGAUCAAGCAAUGAAGUGAACCGAACACUAUGCAGUUACAAGCUUCCGCACAUAGUUUCGUCGUUAUUUUUAAACGGCGAACUCAAUUACAUUACGUUGUAUUGUUCUUUAAUUGUAAAAGUUUUAAUAAACCCGUAUUUUUCAAUAUAUGU